CUACGGGUUGCUGCAGUGGGGAAUAUUGCACAAUGGGCGCAAGCCUGAUGCAGCGACGCCGCGUGGAGGAUGACGGUUUUCGGAUUGUAAACUCCUGUUAAGUGGGAAAAAAUCUCAGCGGUUAAUAAUCGUCUGAGGAUGAUGGUAUCACUAGAGAAAGUACCGGCAAACUUCGUGCCAGCAGCCGCGGUAAUACGAAGGGUACAAGCGUUAUUCGGAGUUACUGGGCGUAAAGAGCGUGUAGGCGGUAUGUUAAGUUAGUUGUUAAAGGUCUUGGCUUAACUAAGAAAAAGCAGCUAAAACUGGCAAACUAGAGUACAAGAGAGAAAAGUAGAAUUCUCGGAGUAGCGGUAAAAUGCGUAGAUCUCGAGAGGAAUACCGAUGGCGAAGGCAACUUUUUGGCUUGUAACUGACGCUAAAGCGCGAAAGCGUGGGGAGCAAACAGGAUUAGAUACCCCCGUAGUC
Molecule: ribosomal RNA, 465 nt
Filed under: uncultured bacterium
Lineage: Bacteria
Description: partial 16S ribosomal RNA
Rfam family: Bacterial small subunit ribosomal RNA
Source: RNAcentral